RNAcentral lists this long non-coding RNA (2602 nucleotides) under Capsicum annuum. RNAcentral's name for it is "long non-coding RNA (CANN_LNC002319)". Lineage: Eukaryota; Viridiplantae; Streptophyta; Magnoliopsida; Solanales; Solanaceae. The record is from RNAcentral.
UUGCAGCUCCAUUUUCUCCUUCUUUUUGCCUUUCCGAGAUUUCACUCCCUACGCACUUCACACCAAAACGCAAGCUUCAAAAAAAUCUGUUCUCAGCUGAUUUCACUUGGAUUUUGCUGUUGAAUUUUAUGUUGUACGUUCUGUAGCUGAAAUAAAAUAUAAAAGAUUUGUAUAGUAAGAUUUUAAUCGGUUUGUUGCGGUUAUUUUUUUUGUUUAUUGUUGUAUGUUUAUCUGUUGCGACUGAGCCGAUGUUUAAUCAUAAUUUUGCUGUUAAUUUGUUUAUCAGUUGCUAUUGAGCCGAUGUUUAAUUGUAACUUUGCUGUUCAAUUUUAUGUUUAUGUGGUAUGUUUUGAAGUUAAAAUAGAUAUAGAAAAUUUGCAUAGUAGGAUUAUAAUCAGUUUGUUACGGUUAAUUUUUGUUUAUUGUUGAAUGUUUAUCGCCUGCUAUUUAGCCGGUGUUUAAUCAUAAUUUUGCUCUUAAUUUUUUUUCAGUUGCGAUUGAGCCGAUGUUUAAUCGUAAUUUUGUGUUUAUGUUGUAUGUUUCUCCAGUUGAUAUAGAUAUAGAUACUUUAUAUAGUUGGAUUCUAUUUGGUUUGCGAUUAAGCCGUUGUUUGAUCGAAAUUUUGCUGUUUAUUUUAUGUUCAUGUUAUAUAUUUCUCAGUUGAAAUAAAAGAUUUAUAUAGUCAGGUUUUAACUGGUUUUGGAAAGGAUAGUCGAGGGAGAGGAGAAAAGAGAGGGGAAUAAGGCUUGGUUUAGCAGCCUUUGUUUUCUAUGGUGUGUUGGUUGGGAGAGCUGCAAUGUAUGAUAUGAUGAUUGUUUACGCUUGUUAUCUCGCUAUUAUAUUUGGAUUGGCGUGCACGCUUGUACUGUUAGCUGUUUGUCGACAUGCCUUGCCAACAUGCCUAUAUCCAUUGCUUUGCGGGAUAUCUUUUACUUCUUAACAAGGUUUGUUGUUAUAGAGCCAUUUGUUGUUGGCACUUCGACAAGUCUUUUGAUGUUUUGACCCCUGAUAUGUGGAGAAUGAAGAAAUUAGAAAGUAUAGGAUAUAUUCAGCUAUAACACAUAUAUUUUGCUUUAGCAAAAAAUUAAUUGCUUUCGGUACACCCUUGUUUGAAGGUUCUGAAUAGGAAAGAGACAGCUCAACUCAACUGAAAUAACAAUCUGUAAAACUGAACACUGUUUGAAAACUAGCCUGAAAAACCUCUAACUGAAACUGUCUGAAAUUGGAGUUGAUGGGACAAUCCCCCAACUAACUCCAUCUACUGAAAUACCGAGUCUACUGAAAUAAUGAAACAAAAGAACAUCCUCAAAUGAUGAGGACUCACUGCUAAUCUACUGCUGCUAGCUGAAUCUGAAUCAUUCUAUGCACGGUCGAGAACCUGUGCAUCCGAGCCUAUGAUAAGAGACAUCAUAGCGCAAAUAAAGAGUGUACUGAAUGUAUUGGUAUGCUAGAUGAGGUAAAGUUGAAUCCACGAGUUCAUAUGCAUGAACAAAAUUGUCUGUAUGAUAUAGAGUAACUGAACAUGAAAGUACAUGGAUAAUUGAUACUAUUGUAAAUACUGAGUAUGACUACUGUGCAUAUAAAUAAAUACUGUGACUAAGCUUAUCUGAGUCCUGAGUUCAGAUACUGAGUAACUGAUAUCUAAAGUUACUGAUAACAGAUUUAUUGAUACUGGUUGACUGUAUCUAACAGUCCUGAUUUUGUAGAACUGAAUCGAGUUCUAUUUUGAAGACUGAAACUGAGACUGAGAGGUAAUCAUUUAACUGACAUGCCUCAAAUAAGAUAACUGAGUUGGGAUCCACCUGUGACCCCAAAUAAAAGGGUGUCAGUACUGUGCCACGGGUAAAGACACUGAAGAGUUACUCUUAUCUGGCAGGUAUUCUAAUGAGAACGGUGGAACCUUCAUCUGACAGGUUAAAACACCUCAUCAACGCUCAACUAGCAGGUUUGAUGUCUCAACCUACACUGGCUAUAUAGUUCUGGAACGCAAGGAUUGCUUUUAGAGAUCACACCCUCUACUAGCAGGUGAGCCCUCAUCCUUGGAUUUACUCGGUGCUGAAUCCUACUCCCAAUUGAAAGACACUGAACUGAGUAUAUUGAACUAGACUAGACUGAUACUGAGCUUACUGAGUUUUCCUAAGUUUGAUAACUGACUGAGUACUAUUGAUCGUGACAUGACUGAGAUUCUGUAACUGACACUGACUCAAGGUACACAGCUAAAUUGUCGGGUAUUAAUACCCCCAAGACUCGGUAGCAUGAAAAAUAAAGCAUAAUAUACUCUUGAAAAUCAUAACAAUGUAUACUUGUCCAUAGUUCACUCAUAAAGGCAUUUAAUCAAACACUUGUAAUACAUCUACUUAUAUAUGAAUGGGGAAUACAUGCUAUCAUGUUAUAAUGACACUUAUUUCAUUCACAUAAAUAUUUUAUCCAACACAGCAUGCUUAGGUUAUACAAUAAUCAAAACAUAGUCAUCAUAGCUACAUCAAUCAACUUGCAAAUUGAAGGGUUUAUCAUGAAGAUCAUGUAAUUCAACACAUACAGUGAUUAAUUUCAUAAAAGCAUGUAAUUUAAUCAUAGACUAAAACCCAACAAUAACAUGAAC